CCUACGGGAGGCAGCAGUGGGGAAUAUUGCACAAUGGGGGAAACCCUGAUGCAGCGACGCCGCGUGAGUGAAGAAGUAUUUCGGUACGUAAAGCUCUAUCAGCAGGGAGGAAAAUGACGGUACCUGACUAAGAAGCCCCGGCUAACUACGUGCCAGCAGCCGCGGUAAUACGUCGGGGGCAAGCGUUAUCCGGAUUUACUGGGUGUAAAGGGAGAGUAGACGGCAGCGCAAGUCUGGAGUGAAAUCCCAUGGCUUAACCAUGGAACUGCGUUGGAAACUGUGCGGCUAGAGUGCAGGAGAGGGAAGCGGAAUUCGUAGUGUAGCGGUGAAAUGCGUAGAUAUUAGGAGGAACACCAGUGGCGAAGGCGGCUUACCGGACUGUAACUGACGUUGAGGCUCGAAGGCGUGGGGAGCAAACAGGAUUAGAUACCCCAGUAGUC
Molecule: ribosomal RNA, 440 nt
Filed under: uncultured bacterium
Lineage: Bacteria
Description: partial 16S ribosomal RNA
Rfam family: Bacterial small subunit ribosomal RNA
Source: RNAcentral